This 465-nucleotide ribosomal RNA is filed under the name uncultured bacterium. RNAcentral's name for it is "partial 16S ribosomal RNA". It matches the Rfam family "Bacterial small subunit ribosomal RNA", at positions 338 to 795 of the family's 1533-position model. The record is from RNAcentral.
CCUACGGGAGGCAGCAGUGGGGAAUAUUGCGCAAUGGGCGAAAGCCUGACGCAGCGACGCCGCGUGAGGGAUGAAGGUCUUCGGAUCGUAAACCUCUGUCAGCAGGGAAGAACGGUCACUGUGCUAAUCAGCAGUGAAUUGACGGUACCUGCAAAGGAAGCACCGGCUAACUCCGUGCCAGCAGCCGCGGUAAUACGGAGGGUGCGAGCGUUAAUCGGAAUUACUGGGCGUAAAGCGCUCGUAGGCGGUAUGUCAAGUCAAGGGGGAAAUCCCCGCGCUCAACGUGGGAACUGCCUUUGAAACUGGCAAACUGGAGUGUGUGAGAGGAUAGUGGAAUUCCAGGGGUAGGAGUGAAAUCCGUAGAUAUCUGGAGGAACAUCAGUGGCGAAGGCGACUAUCUGGCACAUAACUGACGCGGAGGAGCGAAAGCGUGGGUAGCAAACAGGAUUAGAUACCCUGGUAGUC